This 1232-nucleotide ribosomal RNA is filed under the name metagenome. RNAcentral's name for it is "bacterial LSU rRNA". It matches the Rfam family "Bacterial large subunit ribosomal RNA", at positions 1711 to 2925 of the family's 2925-position model. The record is from RNAcentral.
CCCUUAGGCAAAAUGGCACCGUAACUUCGGGAGAAGGUGCGCCGGUGAGGGUGAAGGACUUGCUCCGUAAGCCCAUGCCGGUCGAAGAUACCAGGCCGCUGCGACUGUUUAUUAAAAACACAGCACUCUGCAAACACGAAAGUGGACGUAUAGGGUGUGACGCCUGCCCGGUGCCGGAAGGUUAAUUGAUGGGGUUAGCUAACGCGAAGCUCUUGAUCGAAGCCCCGGUAAACGGCGGCCGUAACAAUAACGGUCCUAAGGUAGCGAAAUUCCUUGUCGGGUAAGUUCCGACCUGCACGAAUGGCGUAACGAUGGCGGCGCUGUCUCCACCCGAGACUCAGUGAAAUUGAAAUCGCUGUGAAGAUGCAGUGUAUCCGCGGCUAGACGGAAAGACCCCGUGAACCUUUACUAUAGCUUUGCACUGGACUUUGAAUUUGCUUGUGUAGGAUAGGUGGGAGGCUUUGAAGCGUGGACGCCAGUUCGCGUGGAGCCAACCUUGAAAUACCACCCUGGCAACUUUGAGGUUCUAACUCAGGUCCGUUAUCCGGAUCGAGGACAGUGUAUGGUGGGUAGUUUGACUGGGGCGGUCUCCUCCUAAAGAGUAACGGAGGAGUACGAAAGUGCGCUCAGACCGGUCGGAAAUCGGUCGUAGAGUAUAAAGGCAAAAGCGCGCUUGACUGCGAGACAGACACGUCGAGCAGGUACGAAAGUAGGUCUUAGUGAUCCGGUGGUUCUGUAUGGAAGGGCCAUCGCUCAACGGAUAAAAGGUACUCCGGGGAUAACAGGCUGAUACCGCCCAAGAGUUCAUAUCGACGGCGGUGUUUGGCACCUCGAUGUCGGCUCAUCACAUCCUGGGGCUGAAGCCGGUCCCAAGGUAUGGCUGUUCGCCAUUUAAAGUGGUACGCGAGCUGGGUUUAGAACGUCGUGAGACAGUUCGGUCCCUAUCUGCCGUGGACGUUUGAGAUUUGAGAGGGGCUGCUCCUAGUACGAGAGGACCGGAGUGGACGAACCUCUGGUGUUCCGGUUGUCACGCCAGUGGCAUUGCCGGGUAGCUAUGUUCGGAAUAGAUAACCGCUGAAAGCAUCUAAGCGGGAAACUAGCCUCAAGAUGAGAUCUCACUGGGACCUUGAGUCCCCUGAAGGGCCGUCGAAGACUACGACGUUGAUAGGUUGGGUGUGUAAGCGCUGUGAGGCGUUGAGCUAACCAAUACUAAUUGCCCGUGAGGCUUGAUC